Molecule: small nuclear RNA, 124 nt
Organism: Nannospalax galili (Upper Galilee mountains blind mole rat)
Lineage: Eukaryota; Metazoa; Chordata; Mammalia; Rodentia; Spalacidae
Source: Ensembl
AUGUUGUAUGAAAUGAGAAAAGGUUAGCACUCCACUUGACAAAGAUGAAAGAGGCUCUUGGACCUAACAACAGACGUGGUUAAGGCAUUGGCAUACACUUUAUGACAUGUAACCACUGUUUUUU